Molecule: unclassified non-coding RNA, 353 nt
Filed under: soil metagenome
Description: partial contains 5.8S ribosomal RNA, internal transcribed spacer 2, and large subunit ribosomal RNA
Rfam family: 5.8S ribosomal RNA (bases 1-120)
Source: RNAcentral
GAUGAAGAACGUAGCGAAAUGCGAUAAGUAAUGUGAAUUGCAGAAUUCAGUGAAUCAUCGAAUCUUUGAACGCACAUUGCGCCCGCCAGUAUUCUGGCGGGCAUGCCUGUUCGAGCGUCAUUACAACCCUCAGGCCCCCGGGCCUGGCGUUGGGGAUCGGCGGAAGCCCCCUGCGGGCACAACGCCGUCCCCCAAAUACAGUGGCAGUCCCGCCGCAGCUUCCAUUGCGUAGUAGCUAACACCUCGCAACUGGAGAGCGGCGCGGCCACGCCGUAAAACACCCAACUUCUGAAUGUUGACCUCGAAUCAGGUAGGAAUACCCGCUGAACUUAAGCAUAUCAAUAAGCGGAGGA